RNAcentral lists this ribosomal RNA (443 nucleotides) under uncultured bacterium. Its description in RNAcentral is "partial 16S ribosomal RNA". It matches the Rfam family "Bacterial small subunit ribosomal RNA", at positions 338 to 795 of the family's 1533-position model. The record is from RNAcentral.
GCUACGGGUGGCAGCAGUGGGGGAUAUUGGACAAUGGGGGAAACCCUGAUCCAGCGACGCCGCGUGAGUGAAGGAGUAUUUCGGUAUGUAAAGCUCUGUCAGCAGGGAAGAAAGAAAUGACGGUACCUGACCAAGAAGCCCCGGCUAACUACGUGCCAGCAGCCGCGGUAAUAGGUAGGGGGCAAGCGGUAUCCGGAAUUACUGGGUGUAAAGGGAGCGAAGACGGUGAUGGAAGUCUGGAGUGAAGGGCUGGGGCCCAACCCCCGGACUGCUCUGGAAACGGUGUAACUUUAGUGCAGGAGAGUUAAGCGGAAUUCCUAGUGUAGCGGUGAAAUGCGUAGAUAUUAGGAGGAACACCAGUGGCGAAGGCGGCUUACUGGACUGUAACUGACGUUGAGGCUCGAAAGCGUGGGGAGCAAACAGGAUUAGAUACCCUGGUAGUC